UCCUAACAGACCGAGAGAUUUGAAC
This 25-nucleotide ribosomal RNA is filed under the name Astrocaryum scopatum. Its description in RNAcentral is "partial 4.5S ribosomal RNA". The record is from RNAcentral. Lineage: Eukaryota; Viridiplantae; Streptophyta; Magnoliopsida; Arecales; Arecaceae.